Molecule: ribosomal RNA, 495 nt
Filed under: uncultured bacterium
Lineage: Bacteria
Description: partial 16S ribosomal RNA
Rfam family: Bacterial small subunit ribosomal RNA
Source: RNAcentral
GACGAACGCUGGCGGCGUGCCUAAUACAUGCAAGUAGAACGCUGAAGGAGGAGCUUGCUUCUCUGGAUGAGUUGCGAACGGGUGAGUAACGCGUAGGUAACCUGCCUGGUAGCGGGGGAUAACUAUUGGAAACGAUAGCUAAUACCGCAUAAGAGUAGAUGUCGCAUGACAUUUGCUUAAAAGGUGCAAUUGCAUCACUACCAGAUGGACCUGCGUUGUAUUAGCUAGUUGGUGAGGUAACGGCUCACCAAGGCAACGAUACAUAGCCGACCUGAGAGGGUGAUCGGCCACACUGGGACUGAGACACGGCCCAGACUCCUACGGGAGGCAGCAGUAGGGAAUCUUCGGCAAUGGACGGAAGUCUGACCGAGCAACGCUGCGUGAGUGAAGAAGGUUUUCGGAUCGUAAAGCUCUGUUAUAAGAGAAGAACGAGUGUGAGAGUGGAAAGUUCACACUGUGACGGUAUCUUACCAGAAAGAGACGGCUAACUACGUG